This 61-nucleotide transfer RNA is filed under the name Camelus bactrianus (Bactrian camel). It matches the Rfam family "tRNA". Rfam says of the family: Transfer RNA (tRNA) molecules are approximately 80 nucleotides in length. Their secondary structure includes four short double-helical elements and three loops (D, anti-codon, and T loops). Further hydrogen bonds mediate the characteristic L-shaped molecular structure. tRNAs have two regions of fundamental functional importance: the anti-codon, which is responsible for specific mRNA codon recognition, and the 3' end, to which the tRNAs corresponding amino acid is attached (by aminoacyl-tRNA synthetases). tRNAs cope with the degeneracy of the genetic code in two manners: having more than one tRNA (with a specific anti-codon) for a particular amino acid; and 'wobble' base-pairing, i.e. permitting non-standard base-pairing at the 3rd anti-codon position. The record is from Rfam by way of RNAcentral. Lineage: Eukaryota; Metazoa; Chordata; Mammalia; Artiodactyla; Camelidae. RNAcentral also lists the same sequence under 2 other names.
GAAGGUAUAGCUCAGUGGUAGAGCAUGCAUGAAGUCUUGAGUUCAAUCCCCAGUACUUCCU